Molecule: ribosomal RNA, 27 nt
Filed under: Tulasnella calospora
Lineage: Eukaryota; Fungi; Basidiomycota; Agaricomycetes; Cantharellales; Tulasnellaceae
Also listed under: 1 other name
Description: partial 18S ribosomal RNA
Source: RNAcentral
CCUGCGGAAGGAUCAUAGUAAUCGUCU